Molecule: ribosomal RNA, 690 nt
Filed under: Triticum aestivum (bread wheat)
Lineage: Eukaryota; Viridiplantae; Streptophyta; Magnoliopsida; Poales; Poaceae
Description: partial small subunit ribosomal RNA
Source: RNAcentral
AUGGAAGGUAAUUCUGUGGCUUGGAGAUUGACAUGCUUCUAUGGAGAACCUAACUGGGAUCAGAAGCACUUGUCAUGGACGUAUUUGAGGAACCUUCAUGGUAAUUCAACGGGACCUUGGUUGGUCCUGGGGGAUUUUAAUGAGAUCCUGGUGGCGAGUGAGAAGGAAGGCGGGAAUGUUAGACCACAACAAUACAUGCAGAAUUUUAGAGAUUGUGUAGAUGAUUGUGAGCUACAAGAAGUCACGACUAUUGGAGAUCCUUUUACCUGGAGUCGUGGAGUAAUCAGAGAGCGCCUAGAUAGAGGCCUUUGUAAUGAGCAAUGGGCUGUUAUGUUCCCAUUUGCGGGCUUGAUUCAUGAACACCACGUCCACUCUGAUCAUAGACCGAUUCUAUUGGACACUGAUUAUUUUGCUUCUACUAUGGGACAGAAACCUUGCGGGGAAAGAAAGUUUGAAGCAAGGUGGUUGAAUGAAGCUACAGUGGAUGAGAUAAUCCACACUGCUUAUGAAAGAGCUAAGCUUGCGGGGAUUGGGCCUUCACUUUCGGACCGCACAAAAGCAAUUAAAGAUGACUUGCACCAGUGGGAUAGAAAUACACUUCAGGGGCCUAAGAAAAGAAUACAUAAGUUGAAGAAGGAACUAGAGAAGCUGAGAAGAGGACCGCUGACUGUGGUGGUCCGCCAAAGCUGA